CUCACAACUGGCCUAGCUCCCCUCUCUCCGUGUGCCAGGCCCACCAACACACGCGAAACACACACCACAAUAAAGAACCACAACAUACCACCGCUCAGAACUUGAAAGGGACGCAAACGCGUGGAAAAUUACUUGGCAAGAAUACCGUAGGACCAUUGUGAUUGGGUCACUCAAGUGUGUGAUGUUCGGUGUUGGAGCA
RNAcentral lists this long non-coding RNA (199 nucleotides) under Elaeis guineensis (African oil palm). Its description in RNAcentral is "long non-coding RNA (EGUI_LNC016564)". Lineage: Eukaryota; Viridiplantae; Streptophyta; Magnoliopsida; Arecales; Arecaceae. The record is from RNAcentral.